GACGAACGCUGGCGGCGUGCCUAAUACAUGCAAGUAGAACGCACAGUUUAUACCGUAGCUUGCUACACCAUAGACUGUGAGUUGCGAACGGGUGAGUAACGCGUAGGUAACCUGCCUGGUAGCGGGGGAUAACUAUUGGAAACGAUAGCUAAUACCGCAUAAUAUUAAUUAUUGCAUGAUAAUUAAUUUAAAGGUGCAAUUGCACCACUACCAGAUGGACCUGCGUUGUAUUAGCUAGUAGGGGAGGUAACGGCUCACCUAGGCGACGAUACAUAGCCGACCUGAGAGGGUGAUCGGCCACACUGGGACUGAGACACGGCCCAGACUCCUACGGGAGGCAGCAGUAGGGAAUCUUCGGCAAUGGACGAAAGUCUGACCGAGCAACGCCGCGUGAGUGAAGAAGGUUUUCGGAUCGUAAAGCUCUGUUGUAAGAGAAGAACGGGUGUGAGAGUGGAAAGUUCACACUGUGACGGUAUCUUACCAGAAAAGGACGGCUAACUACGU
Molecule: ribosomal RNA, 504 nt
Filed under: uncultured bacterium
Lineage: Bacteria
Description: partial 16S ribosomal RNA
Rfam family: Bacterial small subunit ribosomal RNA
Source: RNAcentral